RNAcentral lists this ribosomal RNA (909 nucleotides) under Exophiala dermatitidis. RNAcentral's name for it is "LSU rRNA". It matches the Rfam family "Eukaryotic large subunit ribosomal RNA", at positions 38 to 965 of the family's 3401-position model. Lineage: Eukaryota; Fungi; Ascomycota; Eurotiomycetes; Chaetothyriales; Herpotrichiellaceae. The record is from RNAcentral.
GCAUAUAAAUAGCGGAGGAAAAGAAACCAACAGGGAUUGCCUCAGUAACGGCGAGUGAAGCGGCAACAGCUCAAAUUUGAAAUCUGGCCUCUUUGGGGUCCGAGUUGUAAUUUGUAGAGGAUGUUUCGGGCACCGCUCCGGUUUAAAUUUCUUGGAACAGAAUGUCAAAGAGGGUGAGAACCCCGUCUUGGACCGGCAGUAGGGCCCAUGUGAAACUCCUUCGACGAGUCGAGUUGUUUGGGAAUGCAGCUCAAAAUGGGUGGUAAAUUUCAUCUAAAGCUAAAUAUUGGCCAGAGACCGAUAGCGCACAAGUAGAGUGAUCGAAAGAUGAAAAGCACUUUGAAAAGAGAGUUAAACAGUACGUGAAAUUGUUGAAAGGGAAGCGCUUGCAACCAGACUUGCGCGCGGCGGUUCCCCCUUCCUUUUGGUUGGGUUAUUCCGCCGUGUCCAGGCCAACAUCGGUUCUGGGGGUCGGUUAAAGGCCUGGGGAAUGUAUCUACCCUUCGGGCGUAGACUUAUAGCCCCGGGUGUCAUGCGACCUCCCGGGACCGAGGAACGCGCUUCGGCUCGGAUGUUGGCGUAAUGGUUGUCAGCGACCCGUCUUGAAACACGGACCAAGGAGUCUAACAUCUAUGCGAGUGUUUGGGUGUCAAACCCGGAACGCGGAAUGAAAGUGAACGGAGGUAGGAAGCUUCGGCUGCACUAUCGACCGAUCCUGAUGUCUUCGGAUGGAUUUGAGUAAGAGCAUAGCUGUUGGGACCCGAAAGAUGGUGAACUAUGCCUGAAUAGGGUGAAGCCAGAGGAAACUCUGGUGGAGGCUCGCAGCGGUUCUGACGUGCAAAUCGAUCGUCAAAUUUGGGUAUAGGGCGAAAGACUAAUCGAACCAUCUGGUAGCUGGUUCCUGCCGAA